AGAAAACCUGAUGGAGCAUGGUAGUGGGGA
RNAcentral lists this non-coding RNA (30 nucleotides) under Homo sapiens (human). Lineage: Eukaryota; Metazoa; Chordata; Mammalia; Primates; Hominidae. The record is from RNAcentral.